GACGAACGCUGGCGGCGUGCUUAACACAUGCAAGUCGAACGGAAAGGCCCUGCUUUUGUGGGGUGCUCGAGUGGCGAACGGGUGAGUAACACGUGAGUAACCUGCCCUUGACUUUGGGAUAACUUCAGGAAACUGGGGCUAAUACCGGAUAGGAGCUCCUGCUGCAUGGUGGGGGUUGGAAAGUUUCGGCGGUUGGGGAUGGACUCGCGGCUUAUCAGCUUGUUGGUGGGGUAGUGGCUUACCAAGGCUUUGACGGGUAGCCGGCCUGAGAGGGUGACCGGCAAAAUGGGAACGGGGAUACGGCCCAGACCCCUACGGGAGGAAGCGGUGGGGAAUAUUGCACAAUGGGCGGAAGCCGGAUGCAGCAACGCGGCGUGCGGGAUGACGGCCUCGGGUUGUAAACCGCUUUCGCCUGUGACGAAGCGUGAGUGACGGUAAUGGGUAAAGAAGCACCGGCUAACUACGUG
This 467-nucleotide ribosomal RNA is filed under the name uncultured bacterium. Its description in RNAcentral is "partial 16S ribosomal RNA". It matches the Rfam family "Bacterial small subunit ribosomal RNA", at positions 28 to 507 of the family's 1533-position model. The record is from RNAcentral.